Molecule: ribosomal RNA, 468 nt
Filed under: uncultured bacterium
Lineage: Bacteria
Description: partial 16S ribosomal RNA
Rfam family: Bacterial small subunit ribosomal RNA
Source: RNAcentral
GACGAACGCUGGCGGCGUGCUUAACACAUGCAAGUCGAACGGAAAGGCCCUGCUUUUGUGGGGUGCUCGAGUGGCGAACGGGUGAGUAACACGUGAGUAACCUGCCCUUGACUUUGGGAUAACUUCAGGAAACUGGGGCUAAUACCGGAUAGGAGCUCCUGCUGCAUGGUGGGGGUUGGAAAGUUUCGGCGGUUGGGGAUGGACUCGCGGCUUAUCCGCUUGUUGGUGGGGUAGUGGCUUACCAAGGCUUUGACGGGUAGCCGGCCUGAGAGGGUGACCGGCCACAUUGGGACUGAGAUACGGACCAGACGCCUACGGGAGGCAGCAGUGGGGAAUAUUGCACAAUGGGCGGAAGCCUGAUGCAGCAACGCCGCGUGCGGGAUGACGGCCUUCGGGUUGUAAACCGCUUUCGCCUGUGACGAAGCGUGAGUGACGGUAAUGGGUAAAGAAGCACCGGCUAACUACGUG